Molecule: ribosomal RNA, 463 nt
Filed under: uncultured bacterium
Lineage: Bacteria
Description: partial 16S ribosomal RNA
Rfam family: Bacterial small subunit ribosomal RNA
Source: RNAcentral
GACGAACGCUGGCGGCGUGCUUAACACAUGCAAGUCGAACGGUAAGGCCCUUUCGGGGGUACACGAGUGGCGAACGGGUGAGUAACACGUGGGUGAUCUGCCCUGCACUUUGGGAUAAGCCUGGGAAACUGGGUCUAAUACCGGAUAGGACUACGCGAUGCAUGUCGUGUGGUGGAAAGCUUUUGCGGUGUGGGAUGGGCCCGCGGCCUAUCAGCUUGUUGGUGGGGUGAUGGCCUACCAAGGCGACGACGGGUAGCCGGCCUGAGAGGGUGUCCGGCCACACUGGGACUGAGAUACGGCCCAGACUCCUACGGGAGGCAGCAGUGGGGAAUAUUGCACAAUGGGCGCAAGCCUGAUGCAGCGACGCCGCGUGGGGGAUGACGGCCUUCGUGUUGUAAACCCCUUUCAGCACAGACGAAGCGUAAGUGACGGUAUGUGCAGAAGAAGCACCGGCCAACUACGU